RNAcentral lists this ribosomal RNA (495 nucleotides) under uncultured bacterium. Its description in RNAcentral is "partial 16S ribosomal RNA". It matches the Rfam family "Bacterial small subunit ribosomal RNA", at positions 28 to 507 of the family's 1533-position model. The record is from RNAcentral.
GAUGAACGCUGGCGGCGUGCCUAAUACAUGCAAGUAGAACGCUGAAGGAGGAGCUUGCUCUUCUGGAUGAGUUGCGCACGGGUGAGUAACGCGUAGGUAACCUGCCUGGUAGCGGGGGAUAACUAUUGGAAACGAUAGCUAAUACCGCAUGACAUCAGUUAUUGCAUGAUAACUGUUUAAAAGGGGCAACUGCUCCACUACCAGAUGGACCUGCGUUGUAUUAGGUAGUUGGUGAGGUAACGGCUCACCAAGGCGACGAAACAUAGCCGACCUGGGAGGGGGAUCGGCCACACUGGGACUGGAACACGGCCCAGACUCCCACGGGAGGCAGCAGGAGGGGAUCUUCGGCAAUGGACGGAAGUCUGACCGAGCAAAGCCGCGUGAGUGAAGAAGGGUUUCGGAUCGUAAAGCUCUGUUGUAAGGGAAGAACGAGUGUGAGAGUGGAAAGUUCACACUGUGACGGUAUCUUACCAGAAAGGGACGGCUAACUACGUG